This 482-nucleotide ribosomal RNA is filed under the name uncultured bacterium. RNAcentral's name for it is "partial 16S ribosomal RNA". It matches the Rfam family "Bacterial small subunit ribosomal RNA", at positions 30 to 507 of the family's 1533-position model. The record is from RNAcentral.
AUUGAACGCUGGCGGCAUGCCUUACACAUGCAAGUCGAACGGUAACGGGCCUUCGGGUGCCGACGAGUGGCGAACGGGUGCGUAAUACAUCGGAACGUGCCCGAUCGUGGGGGAUAACGAGGCGAAAGCUUUGCUAAUACCGCAUACGAUCUACGGAUGAAAGCAGGGGACCGCAAGGCCUUGCGCGGACGGAGCGGCCGAUGGCAGAUUAGGUAGUUGGUGGGUUAAAAGCUUACCAAGCCGACGAUCUGUAGCUGGUCUGAGAGGAUGAUCAGCCACACUGGGACUGAGACACGGCCCAGACUCCUACGGGAGGCAGCAGUGGGGAAUUUUGGACAAUGGGCGCAAGCCUGAUCCAGCCAUGCCGCGUGCAGGAUGAAGGCCUUCGGGUUGUAAACUGCUUUUGUACGGAACGAAAAGCCUUCUUUUAAUACAGGAGGGUCAUGACGGUACCGUAAGAAUAAGCACCGGCUAACUACGUG